GCAGAAGAAGAGGAACAAGGAGUCUGGGGAAAUAAAACUUUUUUUUUUUUUCCCAAGAACUUACUCAGUGCUAGAGUUCAUUUAUAGGAAAGUGGAGUUCCUAUGGAGAGGACAGGGGCCUCUUUCUCAGAGGUCUUGCUCCCCGCAGCUUGCUGGGGUUUGGCGGGCUUUUUUGGAACUACUGCAAAUGGUUCACCAGUCCCUUCCAGUCUUGAUCCUUUCACACCUGGCUAAAUCUUCAAGCAGUCAGCCACGAAGAAGACUGUUCUACAAGAGAAGAAACACGGGCUUUGGGUCGGCCAUCUUGCUCUGCCACUUGGGUGUGCAGUGACCUUGGGAAAUUACUUAACCAUUAUGGCCUCUGUAAAAUGGAAAUAAAAAGGAACUUCUUCCAAAGAUCAUUGCAAUGAUUUAAAAUAUGAUGCCUAAAUAAUGAAAACAUGCCUAGAACCUUGUGUACAGUUAGUAAAUGUCAAUUAUUGUCAAUUUUAUAACUUUUGAUUGACAAAGGCUUCAGACAAAGGAGAGGGCAGUGGGGGCUUGGUAUUUUCAUGAAAGAUUUCUUGGAGGUUGCUUUUCUGCAAACAUUGAAUUAAAAGAAGACUUCUUUGGAGAAGAGAGACUGCAUUUAGAUCUUGAAGGAUGAAAAGAUUUAGCUGGACAGAGAUGACUCCUUGGGUUGGGCUGAUGUAUUGAAGGUGCUAUCUGGCCACUGGGUGCUGAGAGGUGUCAGAUAUAUAUCUGUUCUCCCCUGGAAAAUAAUUUCUGCUGCCAGUGCUAUGCAGCUUAGCAUGCUCUUCUGAGUGAAGCUUGUAGGGUUGAAGCUAUACUUCUGUCUUUACCUACACCAUCUCCUUCUUCUCUCAUCACAUCUUCUCUUGAUAGGCUUCUCCCCAUCUUCUCUCAGUGGGCUCAAACACU
This 921-nucleotide long non-coding RNA is filed under the name Callithrix jacchus (white-tufted-ear marmoset). RNAcentral describes it as "lncRNA (ENSCJAG00000086903.1)". Lineage: Eukaryota; Metazoa; Chordata; Mammalia; Primates; Cebidae. The record is from RNAcentral.